UCUCCGUCCUAAUAACCAUCUGCAUGUGUGUGUUCUGCAGCAGGGUUCUAGGAAAAUUAACAUCAUGCAGCUUCUUCAGUCACACCACCGACUCCACUGAUAAGGCUGAAAACAUUUAUUAUACCACUGUUCAGUACAAAAGAAUGUCCACUGCAUCUGCUACGAACAUCAAGUCAGACUGCAGGACUGAUUCCUAACUGUUACCUCACAGCUGCAGAGACACUGACAAGCACAAGGUGC
Silurus meridionalis is the source of this 240-nucleotide long non-coding RNA. RefSeq lists it as uncharacterized. NCBI's taxonomy places the organism in Eukaryota, Metazoa, Chordata, Actinopteri, Siluriformes, Siluridae. The record is from RefSeq and is a predicted model, not a curated record. The transcript is spliced from 3 exons.